RNAcentral lists this long non-coding RNA (1738 nucleotides) under Lathyrus oleraceus (garden pea). Its description in RNAcentral is "Pisum sativum (pea) long non-coding RNA (PSAT_LNC023352)". Lineage: Eukaryota; Viridiplantae; Streptophyta; Magnoliopsida; Fabales; Fabaceae. The record is from RNAcentral.
AUUUGAUCCCGACCAUUAAAUUGGAAUUAAUCAAGGGCCCAUAUUAAUGAUCCAUGUGACUACCUUUCAUCCAAUUAAAAAAUAGAAUUUAAACAAAUAAAGAAAGAAAGAAAAAUAGAAAGUAAAGAAAAUAUCUCCAUGUGACUCCAUUAUGGACACACGGAAGGGCUUUUUUCAAUCCUGAAUAAAAAUAAUAUCUUAUUAUAUCCAUUCAUAAGGCAACAGGUGUCCAUUAUCAAGUGGGAGUUUCACCCAGAUUUAAAAAAGGAAUCUAUUCCUUCGGAGACAGUUGGCGGAAAGAGAGAAAGAAAAAAUACAAAAAGAGAAAAAGAGUCAAUAAAUCUCUCUCUCUCUCUCUCUCUCUCUCUCUCUCCCAACGGUUACAAGAGGAAAUAAAAAAGGAAAAUAUAGGUUCAUUAGGGACUCUCAGAAGGACUCUCUCGAUUCUCCCCAAAAAAAGGAAAAGAGAACAAAAAUACCCUCUCUCUAAACAAACAAAGGAAAAAUAAAAGUAAAAACUCCUCUUCUUCUUUCCAAAACAAAAACGAAAACUUUUCCUCAAAUCUUCCGUCCGUCACCAACAUCUGCCGAAAACCACCCACGCACCAUCUCCAUUAUCUCCACAAAACAUUACCGUCUCCUUCACGAACACAACUUCCUCACCCGCCGGAAAUCUCCCCAACUCACAUCGCCUCCGUCCGCCGUCGCACCCUCUUCAUUGUCGCAUCGUCCACCGCCAAACUCACCUGACAAUCACCAAACCUCCAUACCACCGUCCUCCAUCAAAACGCGAACAACCACACGCCUCCGUCGUGCUUCCACCACGCGCCCUUCAUUCCACUCACCGUCAUCUUUAAACACCCUCUCCUUCCUUUACCUUCACGGUCUGUUUUUUCAACACUCACCACUUCCGUUGCCGACGACAUGAUUCCGACUGUUCGCACUUCCAACCGAGGGUGGUUCUCACUAAGAGUAAAGCUUUGCAUCGAGUCACUUCAUUCCAUCGUUUGUGCUAAGUGUGUUCCUUCCACAAUGACGAUUGCAUCGCUACGGAAUUUCUUGGCAUUUGGUAAUGAUUUUUUGAAUGGAUUUUCAUUCUUUGCGGUUACUGUGUCAUUUUUGGGCGUUGAUUAUUUUGAGUAAAUUAGGAAUGUAAAUAUUAGAUUUGCUUUGAUAACACACUCGUUUUAUUAUUGUUUUUGUAUAUAAUCAAAUUGUGUUGUGUGAUGACUUUAUGAAACCAUGAGAGAGUCAAAGAGAGGGAUAAGAUAAAUGAUGAAUGUUUGAUAUUUGUUUUCUUUCUUUCUUCCUGCGGAUUAUCAAGAGUCGUUCUUGUCUGCUUCGAGUUUGUUUUGGCCAUGUCUCUCCAUUGUUUAUAUGUUAAUAGAUGAAUUUUAUGAAGAGGGAUAAUAAGAGAGGAAGUGAAGGAGGUAAUUGUUUCCUCUAAUUUUCUCUUGUAUGGCUUUGGUUAAUUUUUUUUUACUGUAUUUCACUUUCUCUCAAGAUUUUAGGUUUCCACAUGUAGCUGUAUCUUUGAUAUUUUAUCAUUUGAAGAGUCAAAUGAGUAUAAAUAUUGCUUAAGCCUACGUCGAGAGUAGACAAACCAACGUUUAACCGCUAGGACGCGAUCUAAGCACUUGUUCAUUAAAACACAUCCAACUUAUCAAACCUCUUUCAUCUCCCCCGUGCGAUCGAAACUCUUUUAAAAAAGAACAUUGUUCAAUCCUUUCUGACGCGC